This 351-nucleotide ribosomal RNA is filed under the name uncultured bacterium. RNAcentral's name for it is "bacterial SSU rRNA". It matches the Rfam family "Bacterial small subunit ribosomal RNA", at positions 8 to 350 of the family's 1533-position model. The record is from RNAcentral.
AGAGUUUGAUCAUGGCUCAGGAUGAACGCUAGCUACAGGCUUAACACAUGCAAGUCGAGGGGAAACGACAUCGAAAGCUUGCUUUUGAUGGGCGUCGACCGGCGCACGGGUGAGUAACGCGUAUCCAACCUGCCCAUCACUUGGGGAUAACCUUGCGAAAGUAAGACUAAUACCCAAUGACGUCUCUAGAAGACAUCUGAAAGAGAUUAAAGAUUUAUCGGUGAUGGAUGGGGAUGCGUCUGAUUAGCUUGUUGGCGGGGUAACGGCCACAAGGCGACGAUCAGUAGGGUUCUGAGAGGAACGGUCCCCCANAUUGGAACUGAGACACGGUCCAGACUCCUACGGGAGGCA